This is a long non-coding RNA of Canis lupus familiaris (dog), 2815 nucleotides long. RefSeq lists it as uncharacterized. The transcript is spliced from 3 exons. Lineage: Eukaryota; Metazoa; Chordata; Mammalia; Carnivora; Canidae. The record is from RefSeq and is a predicted model, not a curated record.
UGUCAUCAUUUCAGUUUUGCAGAGCAGAAAGCAGAGACUCAGCGAGUAGCCUGCCUUGACCACACUACCAGAUGAGCAGCAGAGGCAAAGUACAGCAACUCUAUCCUACCUAACAUCGAAGUCUGCUUUCCACACCAUACUGGGCCGUUAUGAUGCUUAAUUCAGUUUAGGGAUAUUAACUGAAUCCAAUUAAGGCAGUGGGACCAUGAGGCCGCCCUGCUGUGAAUUCGUUUCCAGUCCAGCCAGCUCAGACAACACUCGGAUGGAUUAACGGACCCUGCUAGACUCCGACUCCCUCGCCUCGCCUCACUGAGCACAGCCCCAGGCUUCAGUGGCUGCACGUAACUGGCAUAACUCAAAUAGUGAAGUCCGUGGGGAAACAAAGCAACCACAACUCAAGAUAAUCCACUUGCACGAGAGGCUUCGGAUGGUGGUUUUGAUUUAACAAGUAGUGGUGGGAUAAUUGUGAGAACAUGCUGCUGGGAAAGAGCACCUGGUCUGGUCAGCCUGAUGUAGGGUGAGAUGCAUCAUUAACCCUCGUGUGAAGUCCAUGACCCUUGUCAAUGUUAGGUACAAAAUCCCAGGUUGGUGGGAUUUGGUGGUGCAACUUUUGAGAGCUCCAAAUGGUUUAAUAAAGUUAAAAAAAAGAGAGAGGUGAGGGAGAAACAAAGAGUCCUCCCCACCUUCCCUGAGUAAUGAGCCUCUUGGAUGAAAGACUACCUUGUAAAGGUUUUUCUCUCCAUUCUCCACUUCCCGCUGCCCAGAUCUGGACGGGGGAGCUCCCAAAUGGGGUAGCAGCUCCACAUUUCUAAUCCGAGCCCAGAUGGAUCUCCUGCCGUGCAUACGCGUUGUUGAGCAAACUGGUAAAUUAACCUGAGAGUCUUGCCUGAAUGAUGAGCUGCACGUAUCAGCUUGAGCAGAACAUUAGCAAGAGCUGGCGUAGGCCUCCAACCUCACCGAGUUUCCUCUCUCUCCUGCCAGUGGACAUGACAGCUCAGGAUAAGGUGACUGGGAGACCACGGGAGCAAAUGUGACACAAGGCAGAAGGCUGUCUUGAGACCUUCCAGCUGGUUUGCAUUUCCUCAUGGGAUAGGAGCCUUCUCCUGCAGGCUGGGAAGGCAGUGGGACCACCAUACGAUUUUAUGGAUCAGUUUUCACUUUUCCAGAUGCAAAGAGAGGAGCCGUAAUUACCUUGCGUACGUUUUGAUAACAUCCCUUGGGCAAGAGGUAGGUAUAACUCACAACAGAUAACCUCUGCUUUUGCUCCAGUGCUGUCUCCUUUAUCUGCAACAUGGGGGUGUUGAGUGAUGCCACAGGCAGCUGGAAGGGCUCAUUUAUUUGACCUAAUUAUUCCCAAUGUAGACCUGACUCAUCAGAACGGGCUCUUCUUCAAAGGAAAUGAGAGCCAGAUUGUCUCCUUGGCAGCAAUGGAAAACAAAUGCUAUCCACAGAAUGGCUGUUAGAUUGAAAAAAGGCGCAACUGGCUUUUGGGGCCAGGCGAUAUUUAACCAUGUUACCAAGAAUAGAGGGACUGGAGAGAGAGUAGUGUCAACUUCUGACAUGCUAGUUUGCUCAAAAUGUUCUUAAUAAAAUUAACUCGCCCUUGGAUGCCGUGGACAAAAGUAACCACAUACUCAGAUCCCAGGCAAAAAUGGAAACCUUCAGUGGGGUGUUUUUAUUAAUAACUGACUGAAUCCCUAUGGGUACAAUGGGGGACUUUUUUUAAUCUUUUUAAAAGAUUUUAUUUAUUUAUUCAUGAGAGACACACAGGAGGGGCAGAGACAUAGGCCGAGGGAGAGCCCUUCCUGAGGGGAGCCCGAUGCAGGACUCAAUCCCAGGAACCCAGAUCGUGACCUGAGCCAAAGACAGAUGGUCAACCACUGAGCCAUGCAGGCAUCCCAGUGGGAGACUUUUCACGUGGAAGCCUUAUGAUUUCUUGGUGCUCUUUGAUGCUCUACUGAAGAAUUGGAAUUAUCUCUUCUAAGGGAUGCGGAAAUGGAGAAGGGGAGUUGAAAUGGCCCUCCUGUUACCAUUAGGCACAUCAAACACAGAUCAGGAGCAGCAUGCCAUAUUCCCUCUGUGAAGCCUCAGAGUGGACGGCCUUAGCUCAAUGAUGCACGACUAAAUGUUGAAACUUCAUCUUAGACAAUUGCAAAUUGCCCAUACCGAAACGCAGGUGCACUGAAAAGAAUCCUUUAAAUGGUUCCUGGUCCCAUCUUCCUGUUUUACGGUUGUGGUUCGGAACGUCACAACCCUAAGAAAUUUGGGAAAGAUGUGUACUUGGCUGAUGUCCGUGGCACAGUCUGGCUCUCGGCCUUUUGUGCUGCAAUUCCUCGAGCACCGUGAAGGCGCCCCAUGGACCACACGGUUCCAGUGUCGCCUGUUGUCGCCAGAGAGGAACCUCCUAGAGCAUGGCAUUUGAUCUCAGCCUGGAUCCUGUUUGGGAAGAGGAGAGGGAAUCCCACAGGCCUGUUGUUCAGUCACGUCCUCUAACACUGUAGCAAGGCACGCACAUGGUUGCACUUGGCAUUCUGACACGUGCAUAGCGUGUUUUCAUCUCUUCCCUGGAGGUGAGGCCAAAGCCUGAGGUUCCUUUUGACACAGCUCUGCGAAAACUCUGGCUUUGUGCUCUCCUGUGCUUUGCAAUAACAUACCAGCUCUGCGGUGUGGCCAAUGUUUACUUAAUUGGUGGGAGGACUUUUUAAUAUCAAAAGGAAAACAUUUCUUCUGCAUUCCACAUAGGUAAGAUGUGGUUUGCUGUGGUACAAGGGUAAGGAUUGGGGGUGGGGAGGGAAUGAAGAGAGGAAAAACAAUC